GUGCUCACUUCAGCAGCACAUAUACUAAAACUGGCACAACACAGAGAAGAUUAGCAUGGCCCUGCACAAGGAUGAUGCAAAUUCGUGAGGUGUUCCAUAUUUUA
Small nuclear RNA from Mesoplodon densirostris (Blainville's beaked whale), 104 nucleotides. The record is from RefSeq and is a predicted model, not a curated record. NCBI's taxonomy places the organism in Eukaryota, Metazoa, Chordata, Mammalia, Artiodactyla, Ziphiidae.